GAGUGUAGCUCAGUGGUAGAGCACUUGCCUGGCAUGUGUGAGGGCCUGGAAUUAAUCCCCAGCACUC
RNAcentral lists this transfer RNA (67 nucleotides) under Heterocephalus glaber (naked mole-rat). It matches the Rfam family "tRNA". Rfam says of the family: Transfer RNA (tRNA) molecules are approximately 80 nucleotides in length. Their secondary structure includes four short double-helical elements and three loops (D, anti-codon, and T loops). Further hydrogen bonds mediate the characteristic L-shaped molecular structure. tRNAs have two regions of fundamental functional importance: the anti-codon, which is responsible for specific mRNA codon recognition, and the 3' end, to which the tRNAs corresponding amino acid is attached (by aminoacyl-tRNA synthetases). tRNAs cope with the degeneracy of the genetic code in two manners: having more than one tRNA (with a specific anti-codon) for a particular amino acid; and 'wobble' base-pairing, i.e. permitting non-standard base-pairing at the 3rd anti-codon position. The record is from Rfam by way of RNAcentral. Lineage: Eukaryota; Metazoa; Chordata; Mammalia; Rodentia; Bathyergidae.